CGUAACGCGUAUAGAACUUACCUUUUACAGAGGGAUAGCCUUUAGAAAUGAAGAUUAAUACCUCAUAGCAUUGAGAUUUGGCAUCAAAUUUUAAUUAAAGAUUUAUCGGUAAAAGAUGGCUAUGCGUCCUAUUAGCUAGAUGGUGAGGUAACGGCUCACCAUGGCAACGAUAGGUAGGGGUCCUGAGAGGGAGAUCCCCCACACUGGUACUGAGACACGGACCAGACUCC
This 230-nucleotide ribosomal RNA is filed under the name uncultured bacterium. Its description in RNAcentral is "partial 16S ribosomal RNA". It matches the Rfam family "Bacterial small subunit ribosomal RNA", at positions 109 to 339 of the family's 1533-position model. The record is from RNAcentral.